AAAAGUAUAGCUGGGUCAUAUAGUGGUUCCAUUCCUACCUUUUUGAGGAAUCUCCACACUCUUUUCCAAAGUAGUUGUACUAAUUUGCAGUCCUGCCAACAAU
This 103-nucleotide microRNA precursor is filed under the name Marmota monax (woodchuck). Lineage: Eukaryota; Metazoa; Chordata; Mammalia; Rodentia; Sciuridae. The record is from RNAcentral.